GCAUCUAUGGCUGAGUGGUUAAAGCACCCAACUCAUAAUUGGACUACUCGCGGGUUCGAAUCCUGCUAGAUGCA
Molecule: transfer RNA, 74 nt
Filed under: Cylindrocystis brebissonii
Lineage: Eukaryota; Viridiplantae; Streptophyta; Zygnematophyceae; Zygnematales; Mesotaeniaceae
Description: tRNA-Ile
Rfam family: tRNA
About the family: Transfer RNA (tRNA) molecules are approximately 80 nucleotides in length. Their secondary structure includes four short double-helical elements and three loops (D, anti-codon, and T loops). Further hydrogen bonds mediate the characteristic L-shaped molecular structure. tRNAs have two regions of fundamental functional importance: the anti-codon, which is responsible for specific mRNA codon recognition, and the 3' end, to which the tRNAs corresponding amino acid is attached (by aminoacyl-tRNA synthetases). tRNAs cope with the degeneracy of the genetic code in two manners: having more than one tRNA (with a specific anti-codon) for a particular amino acid; and 'wobble' base-pairing, i.e. permitting non-standard base-pairing at the 3rd anti-codon position.
Source: RNAcentral